RNAcentral lists this ribosomal RNA (515 nucleotides) under uncultured eukaryote. RNAcentral describes it as "bacterial SSU rRNA". It matches the Rfam family "Eukaryotic small subunit ribosomal RNA", at positions 21 to 550 of the family's 1831-position model. The record is from RNAcentral.
UAGUCAUAUGCUUGUCUCAAAGAUUAAGCCAUGCAUGUCUAAGAGUAACCCCAGUAAGGGGAAGUCUGCGAAUGGCUCAUUAAAUCAGUUAUAGUUUAUUUGGAUGUGGGCUUGCUACACGGAUAACUGUGGCAAUUCUAGAGCUAAUACGUGCUAAGUCCCCAACUUCGCGGAAGGGGUGUAUGUGUUAGGUAUUCAACUGGCUUGCUAGUUGAUUCAUAACAACCUUAACUGACCGCAUAGCCUUGCGCUGGCGGCGUCGCAUUCAAAUUUCUGAUCUAUCAACUUGAAGGUAGGAUAGAGGCCUACCUUGGUUGUAACGGAUGACGGGGAAUUAGGGUUCGGUUCCGGAGAGGGCGCCUGAGAGAUGGCGACCACUUCCAAGGAAGGCAGCAGGCGCGCAAAUUACCCAAUGCUAAUACAGCGAGGUAGUGACAAUAAAUAACAAUGUCGGGGCCUCAAAGCCUCGGCAAUUGGAAUGAGCACAAUUUAAAUCCCUUAGCGAGGAACAACUA